GCACCGCUUUUUUCUCUCUUUGGCGCUGAGAUUGAGAAAAGGGAACUCUCACGAAACUCAACUCUCUCUCUCUCUCACCCUCUUCGCUCGCACCCAAUCGUCCCCAUUUCAUUUCAUUUCAGAUCGAACCCUUCUUCCUCCUCGUACUCCCUUUCCCAUUCGCCGCGGAGUUACUCACACCCACACCUUACUAGGCUCGCAUUCAGACUAUAGUGGUGGAUGCUACGGUGGUACGUGUUUCCUCAGAACUAUGGCUAGUCCAACUGGAGAAUUGACAAGCCAUAACGACGGUACCACCGACCGGAUGGGAACUGAACAAUGUGAAUUGUCAGAAAAAACGCCUCAGAUAGGCUCUGAAGGUUUAGAGAAUGAACAAAAGGAGCUUGGUACUGAGUUAACCAGUUCGGUUAUUGAAGAAAAAUCAAAUCAAGUUUCUGCCAUUGUAACAGAGAAUGCCGUUAUUCAACUGCCUGAACCGCUUCAACAUGACUUACAAAAGAAUUGCCAGACUGUAGAAGGUUCAUGCCUUGAACAAAGUACUGUCGAAAAAGUCACUGUUGAUUUAUCUAAUGAUAAACCUGAAAACAAAUGCAAACCAUUGUCUGAAAAUGUUCAAAGUGAACCCGUAGAAUCCAUUCCUGCCGUUGUUGUUGAAGGCCAAAUGCAAUCCAAUCCAUCUCAAGCGAAUAUGAGUUCUGUGAAUGAAUUAUUGGAUCAACCUUCUGGAGAUGCUGUGAACAAUAUUAGUUCCAAUUGUUCAGAAAAAAUGUCUAAUAGCCCAACUCAUUCACAGUCUAGGCGCAAGGGUAAAAAGAACUCUAAAUUAUUGAAAAAGUAUAUGCUAAGGUCGUUAGGAAGCAGUGACAGAGCUUUGCGGUCAAGAACAAAAGAAAAACCCAAGGAACCUGAACCAACUAGUAAUUUGGUUGAUGGUAACAAUAAUGGAGUUAAGAGGAAAAGUGGGAGGAAGAAGAAAAAGAGAAAAGAGGAGGGAAUUACUGAUCAGUUUUCUAGAAUCAGAUCUCACUUAAGAUAUUUAUUAAACCGAAUAAGCUAUGAAAACAGCUUGAUUGAUGCUUAUUCUGGCGAGGGCUGGAAAGGAUACAGUAUCGAAAAGUUAAAGCCUGAGAAGGAGCUUCAGCGGGCUAAGUCGGAAAUUCUUCGACGCAAAUUGAAAAUUAGGGAUCUAUUUCAAAAUUUGGAUUCAUUGUGUGCCGAAGGAAAGUUUCCAGAAUCUUUGUUUGAUUCUGCAGGAGAGAUUGACAGUGAGGAUAUAUUUUGUGCAAAAUGCCAGUCCAAAGAGUUGAGCACUAAUAAUGAUAUAAUUCUUUGUGAUGGUGUUUGUGACCGUGGAUUUCACCAGCUCUGUUUGGAUCCUCCGAUGUUAACUGAAGACAUUCCACCUGGCGAUGAGGGUUGGUUAUGCCCAGGAUGUGAUUGCAAAGAUGACUGCAUGGACCUUGUUAACGACUCCUUCGGAACAAGUCUCUCUAUUAGUGACACCUGGGAGAGAGUCUUUCCUGAAGCAGCAUCAUUUGCUGGAAAUAAUAUGGAUAACAACUCGGGAGUUCCUUCUGAUGAUUCUGAUGAUGAUGAUUAUAAUCCUAAUGGUCCAGAUGAUGUGAAAGUUGAAGGGGAUGAGUCAAGUUCUGAUGAAUCUGAGUAUGCUUCUGCUUCUGAGAAAUUGGAGGGUGGUUCACACGAGGAUCAAUACUUGGGCCUUCCAUCUGAAGAUUCUGAUGAUGGUGAUUAUGAUCCUGAUGCUCCAGAUGUUGAAUGUAAAGUCAAUGAAAAAAGUUCAAGCUCUGAUUUCACUUCUGACUCCGAGGAUCUUGCUGCUGCAAUUGAGGAUAACACAUCCCCUGGACAGGAUGGAGGCAUCAGUUCCAGCAAAAAAAAGGGUAAAGUUGGUAAGAAGCUAUCUCUGCCCGAUGAACUGUCAUCUUUACUAGAGCCAGAUUCUGGCCAAGAGGCUCCCACUCCUGUUUCUGGGAAAAGACAUGUGGAAAGGUUGGACUACAAAAAGCUGUAUGAGGAGACGUAUCACAGUGAUACGAGUGAUGAUGAAGAUUGGAAUGACACUGCUGCUCCAAGUGGAAAAAAGAAACUCACUGGCAAUGUAACUCCAGUGUCACCAAAUGGAAAUGCUUCAAAUAAUUCUAUACAUACUCCUAAGAGGAAUGCUCAUCAGAAUAAUGUUGAAAAUACAAAUAAUUCACCCACUAAAUCACUUGAGGGCUGUUCGAAAUCUGGUUCCAGGGAUAAAAAGUCUGGAUCUUCAGCACACAAAAGACUAGGAGAAGCCGUAGUUCAGAGACUUCACAAAUCUUUUAAAGAAAAUCAGUAUCCAGAUAGAACCACAAAAGAAAGCUUGGCACAAGAACUUGGACUUACUUAUCAGCAGGUUGCCAAAUGGUUUGGCAAUACACGUUGGAGCUUCCGGCAUUCAUCACAAAUGGAAACCAAUUCAGGUAGAAAUGCUUCACAGCAAGUUACUGAUGGCAGAGCUGAAAAUGAGGGGGAGAAGGAAUGUGAAUUAAUAUCUCCGGAGUUCAGUGGAGAAAAAUCAAAAACCCCAAACUCUAGAAAAAGGAAGCAUUUGUCAGAACCCCUAUCUGAAGCACAGCUGGAUAUCAAUGGCUCAGCAGCAAGUUCACCAAAUGUUCAUCUAACGCAAAUAGGCAAUAAAAUGAAGACAAGGAAAAGGAAAUGAUACUUAGUUGAGAAGUCGGGUUUAACCUUUUCCUAAGGCUUCAAAUUGCAGUAUCCAUCCUUUUGUGAGAUUGAGAUCCCAUGAGAUGAUCAGCUCAGAUCUCGAUGGAUUUGUUUCCAUUUAGGAAGGGAACCCUAGUAAAUAUUGCAGCUUAUGUGUUUGACUGUUCACAAUGUAUGGAUAUGGCUCUCAUCUUGCAUUGAUCGUGUGUGGUUCGACAUUCAAGGUGGGUUGUUUUCGGGAAUCAUGAAGCUGCUACGUUGGUCAAUUGUUGGCAAUCCCCAUUUCCUUUAAACAAAAAUUUGUCAUGGAUCUGUGAUUUGAGUAAUAGAGUGGGGGGAUGGGAGCAUCAUAUAUUCCAAUUGCUGCAUGCACAUUGCUUAACUUAAUAACCUAUUAUUAUUGUGAGGAAUGGAAGUAAAAUAACACAUUGAGGGACGCGUGGUUUGAUAAUUUUGGUUGGCUAUAGUCGUUUGCAAAUGCCCAAGUUGGGCUUGUAAUAUAUUCUGGUAGUGGAAACUGGGAAUGACCGCAUUAAAAGGGGGAAAAUACGCAUAAUAUGAUAUUGGCAAUAGUUAAACUUGGCUAUUCUGAA
Molecule: RNA transcript, 3308 nt
Organism: Glycine soja
Lineage: Eukaryota; Viridiplantae; Streptophyta; Magnoliopsida; Fabales; Fabaceae
Gene name: homeobox protein HAT3.1-like
Exons: 10
Source: RefSeq, a predicted model, not a curated record